ACGUAAGUUGUCCGACGACUGCUUGAA
This 27-nucleotide small RNA is filed under the name Arabidopsis thaliana (thale cress). RNAcentral describes it as "ATSL107210". Lineage: Eukaryota; Viridiplantae; Streptophyta; Magnoliopsida; Brassicales; Brassicaceae. The record is from RNAcentral.